UCAUGAUCCAAACAUCUCCCACCAGGUCCCACUUCCACCAUUGGGGAUUACAAUUUAACAUGAGAUUUGGGCGAGGACAAGUAUCCAAACUAUGUCAGCUGUGAAAGUUUGGGGAAAAGGGAUUUAUUUUUACAUUUUUUCUUAGCUGUUUCCCAAGAAGAUAUCCACAUCAUCUACAAAUAAUGACAACUUUGUGUUUUUACCAACAUAUAUCAGAUUUUUUUCUCUUUACAACUCAUUCCACUAGAAAGAAAUUGUAAGACAAUACUUAAUAACAUUUUUGAUAGUAGGCAGACUUGUCUUGCUCCUGAUUGUAAUGCAGUUUUCCCUAGUUGUUUAACAUCAUUUGUGUGUUUGUGAAUUUGAGAACCCUGAGAAAUAUUGCCUGUUAAGUAUACUUUCUUAGUUUUUUGUUUGUUUGUUUGUUUUUUGAGAUGGAGUUUCGCUCCUGUUACCCAGGCUGGAGGGCAAUGGCGCGAUCUCGGCUCACUGCAACCUCCGCCUCCCGGGUUCAAGCGAUUCUCCUGCCUCAGCCUCCCGAGUAGCUGGGAUUACAGGCAUGUGCCACCACGCCUGGCUAACUUUGUAUUUUUAGUAGAGACUGGGUUUCUCCACGUUGGUCAGGCUGGUCCGGAACUCCCGACCUCAGGUGAUCUGCCCGCCUUGGCCUCCGAAAGUGUUGGGAUUACAGGCGUGAGCCACGGCGCCCAGCCUCUUAGUUUGUUUUUAAUCCCAAGUGUUGAAUUCCUUCAAAUGCUCUUCCAUUGUCCAUCCAUCUUUAAAAUAUGGUCAGGAGCGGUAGUGUCUCUAUCGAGGUCACUCUUUUUAUGUCUGUAUUUUAUAAUUUUGUUAAUAUAUGACCCGCAGCGUUUUGUCAUAUUACGGUCUAGGUUAGUGCAGAUAUUGCUUGUGCUUGGGAACAGGAUCAUUUUUAUUUGUGAUUCUGGGUAUAAGUGGAGUUGAGCAGAUCCUGGGAAAGUGAACUAAACUGUUAUUUGAAAAUUGGACUGUAUGUCUCACGACUACUCUCCAUUUCCAUAUGAGUCCAUUUCCCCUAGAUAAAGGAAAUAUUUCAUCAACAAACGAAGGAGGCUUUCAUGAUCCCCCCUUGGCUGAUGCCAACAGAGUGCCAGUAAGAGAGAGACAAAGGUGCAACCAAAAUCAGGGGACCUCAGGGUUCUUCUCUCUACGGCUACUAUGAGAUGAGGAAACACCAAGAAUAAAUAAGAAGAAAGAAGGCUCCAGGUUGUUAAAUUUUUGGCGAUGGGAUGCCAUUUCCUGGCCAAGAGGACAGGAGGACCAGAGAGAGAGAUGAACAGCAAAGAUGUUCAGUAUUGUGCUGAAAGAAACAUUGAUGUGAACCCAGUGAUCAGUGGAAUUGUCAAGUACAGGUGAGCACUUCUGUGUUCCCAAGAAGACAGCUCAUCUGGUUUCUUCCUGCAUCUUGGGACACUCCUUCCCUGUCUAUACCACUGACUCUUGCUCUGGUUGUUGUACUCUUAUACGUGAAUAGACUCUUAAUUCAGCACCUAUAGCCUUUUGUUGUGCUUUUUUGAUGUGUCUGCCUUCAUUAGACUAUGAUGUCUUUGAGAGCAAAGACUAUUUUUCCUUACUCUUUGCAUAUUCUGCAUCUGAGACACUACUUGAAAUAUGGUUGGCAUCACUGAAGGUUCUUUGAUUCAAUUAAUAUUUUGUAAUCACCGUGUGGCAAAACAUUCCCCUUCCAAUCUGGUGCUAGUAGAGUAUAUGCUAUCUAGGCACCAUGUGUGUGGCUUUUGUGUAUCAGGUGUUUCAGAAAUAUUUCAAGACAGUUGUAAGAUGUUUGAGGACAAGAAUUAUUACUCCUAUUUCUAUGUCAUACCACACAGUAGCUGCACAGUUUUAAGAUUAUGCCAUCACCUAGGGUAAUGUUUUGUAGAAUCAGUCCUUCGUGUAACAACUCUAGUGUUUUUGUACUGUUGAUGAUUUGCUUAAAUUUUAUUCAAAAACUAUCACUUGCUAUAAAGGUAAUUGUAAAAAUAAAUACAGUGGACGCAAAAUAAUGUUGUGAGUUUUUAUAAAAAUAAAUUUUAAAAUGAUAUAUAAGACAUUUUUUUGCAAUGCCUGCCCUAACCACUUCUUACAUGUCAUCUUAACAUCUCUUUGAGGAAACACUGUUUCCUCAUUUUACAGAUUUAACAUACUGUAUUAUUUGAUGCCAGAGCCAACAGGCUAUAUCAUAGGCAGUUUCCAAACUUAAUUAUGCCAUUUAGUUUGUCUAGAUUUCUUUUGCCUCUCUCACUGAUCCAUUUGGCUGUAGUUUUCAUCCCUUUUCCAGUACACACAGCUAGCUCCUCAUCCUACCUGGUUUCUGCAUAUGAGAAUGCAGAGGGCUGAGAGAGGGCAAAAUUGUUGUCAUUUAGAAAAGGCAUUUAGGAAAGAGGCUGCUAUUAGAGGGGAACACAAAGUGAAGGUUUUUUUAAAAAAGAGGACUUGCAUCAGCUGCCUCCAGAACAAUUUUAAGAAAAUAACAAAGAUGUUUAGAAGAAAUCUUACGGAGUUUGCCAUGGGAUGUGUGAUAUCAGCAGUCUUCAGCUCCUUACAAAUUACCAAAAGUGGUUCUAAUAUGCUAGUUUGUUUGAUUUUUUCUUUUAUAUUAUAAAGCAAUUGCAUCGAUAAAAGCUUGGACUCCAUUUUAGUGUGACACUCUUCCUCAUGAUACCAGUGAAAUGUAUUGAUUGUGUCCCCAGUUGUUACAUAAUUUGAAAUAAAAAUAUAACUUCUUGAUUUAUUGUUUUUUAAGAUGUGAUAUGGUACUGUGGUUAUGUUGUUUUAAAAAAUGAUUAUCUUUUAGAGAAGUAUACUGAAAAAUGUACAGGUGAAAUGAUAUGUUACUGGUAUUCGCUUCAAAAUCAUCUGAGUGUGGGGUAAUUGAGUACAUAGAUGAAACAAGAUUGGCCAUAAAUUGGUAAUUGCUGAAGCUGUGUGAUGGAUGUUUGAGAGUUCAUUAUACUAUUCUCUAUACUUUUGUAUAUGUUUGAAAUUUUCCAUAAUAAAAAUUGAAAAAAGUAUUCUUCAGA
Molecule: long non-coding RNA, 3059 nt
Filed under: Homo sapiens (human)
Lineage: Eukaryota; Metazoa; Chordata; Mammalia; Primates; Hominidae
Description: HSALNT0407586
Source: RNAcentral